AGCGAACGCUGGCGGCAGGCCUAACACAUGCAAGUCGAACGAACUCUUCGGAGUUAGUGGCGGACGGGUGAGUAACACGUGGGAACGUGCCUUUUGGUUCGGAAUAACUCAGGGAAACUUGUGCUAAUACCGAAUGUGCCCUUCGGGGGAAAGAUUUAUCGCCAUUAGAGCGGCCCGCGUCUGAUUAGCUAGUUGGUGAGGUAACGGCUCACCAAGGUGACGAUCAGUAGCUGGUCUGAGAGGAUGACCAGCCACACUGGGACUGAGACACGGCCCAGACUCCUACGGGAGGCAGCAGUGGGGAAUCUUGCGCAAUGGGCGAAAGCCUGACGCAGCCAUGCCGCGUGAAUGAUGAAGGUCUUAGGAUUGUAAAAUUCUUUCACCGGGGACGAUAAUGACGGUACCCGGAGAAGAAGCCCCGGCUAACUUCGUG
RNAcentral lists this ribosomal RNA (433 nucleotides) under uncultured bacterium. Its description in RNAcentral is "partial 16S ribosomal RNA". It matches the Rfam family "Bacterial small subunit ribosomal RNA", at positions 29 to 507 of the family's 1533-position model. The record is from RNAcentral.